This 403-nucleotide ribosomal RNA is filed under the name uncultured bacterium. Its description in RNAcentral is "partial 16S ribosomal RNA". It matches the Rfam family "Bacterial small subunit ribosomal RNA", at positions 30 to 526 of the family's 1533-position model. The record is from RNAcentral.
AUUGAACGCUGGCGGCAGGCCUAACACAUGCAAGUCGAGCGAGCGGCGGACGGGUGAGUAAGGAAUGGGCACUGCCCGGUGGAGGGGGAUAGCUACUGGACGCUGUUACUAAUACCGCAUACUAGAGGAUAGCCCAUAUGGGAUUAGGUAGUAGGUGGGGUAAUGGCCCACCUAGGCGACGAUCCCUAGCUGGUCGGAGAGGAUGAUCAGUCACACUGGGACUGAGACACGGUCCAGACUCCUACGGAGGCAGCAGUGGGGAAUAUUGGACAAUGGGCGAAAGCCGGAUGCAGCCAUGCCGCGUGUAUGAAGAAGGCCUUCGGGUUGUAAAGCACUUUCAGUCGGGAGGCGUUACCGACAGAAGAAGCACCGGCUAACUCCGUGCCAGCAGCCGCGGUAAUUC